This is a long non-coding RNA of Gadus chalcogrammus (walleye pollock), 1391 nucleotides long. RefSeq lists it as uncharacterized. The record is from RefSeq and is a predicted model, not a curated record. NCBI's taxonomy places the organism in Eukaryota, Metazoa, Chordata, Actinopteri, Gadiformes, Gadidae. The transcript is spliced from 6 exons.
CCUCAGGGCCCGAAAGGACCAAGAGGUGAAAGGGGACCCCAGGGCCCUGACGGGAGGGACGGCAGACCUGGCAACCCCGGCCCUGCUGGGCCCCCAGGACCCCCUGGCCUCGGCGGAAACUUUGCUGCUCAGUAUGAUCACAACAAAGGCGCUGAUAUUGGUCCCGGCCCCAUGGGAAUGAUGGGAAUGAAAGGCCAACCUGGACUUCCCGGCCCCCCUGGAGAAGGAGUGAUAAUCCCUUGAGUCCGGACUUUGUUCCAUCUCUUUUCAACUACGUUCCAUCUCCAGAGAAGAGGAAAAGAAAAAUGAGACUGGAGGUUUUCAACAGACGACAGGGAGCAAAGCUACAGAAGAUGGAGCAGACAAAGCUAUCUGCGAAAGCCAUCCCUCCCAGAGCAUCAACAGAUUGUCCCCAAGACUGCAACAAGGAUCCUACUGCAGAGCAAAGUCCCACCACAGAGCCUUUGAAGGAAUCUACCCAUGAAGAACCUGGAAACGAUGUCCAGCCUGUUCUCCAUGAGGAGGAUCCAGCAACCCCACCAUGCACCACUGAAACCUGUGGUAAACGCGUCCAAUCUCUUGAGCAAGAAUGCCAAGCUCUGAGGACUGAAAAUAUGUUGUUGAAGGAAAAAAUGAAUAGGACUACACUGAAUGAGAUGAGCUUGCAUAACGAUGAUAAAAGGGUUCAUACUCUCACUGGUUUAUCAGCAUUCUCCAUUCUCAUGACAAUUUUUCAUAUUGUGGCUCCUUUUCUCCAACUUAAAUCUAGUUUAACAUGUUUUCAGCAGUACAUGUUAACUUUAAUUAAGCUUAGAAUGAACUUGUCCUUUGAGUUUUUGGCUUUUUAUUUUGACAUUGACUCAACCACUGUUUCAAAGCUCUUCAAACACUGCAUUAGUGUGAUGCAUUGUAGACUGGUGCCAAGUCUGGUGUUGUGGCCUGACAGAAUACUUAAGAAAAUCUCUUCCAUAUGCAUUUCGAAACCGUAGCUUUGAAAAGACAGUUUGCAUUAUAGAUUGUUUUGAAAUAUUUCUAGAGAAACCCAGUAGAUUGCUAGCCAGUGCUCAGUGUUACUCAUCAUACAAAUCACACCACACAAUGAAAUAUUUAAUUGCAAUUUGCCCUCGAGGUUCCAUUUGUUUCAUUUCCGCUGGAUGGGGAGGUCGCACAAGUGAUGAGUUUAUCACAGAACAAAGUCACUUUUUAUCUCAUUUGCUCCCAGGGGACGUAGUUUUAGCGGACAGAGGUUGUCUGGUUAAAGAGUCCAUUGAGAGAUGCCAAGCUGAAUUAAAAAUUCCAGCAUUUACUCGUGGAUAGAAGCAGUUAGAUCCUGCUGACUUGGAGAACACCAGACGUCUAGCCUCUCUUAGGAUACAUAUUGAAAGAGUGAU